This 492-nucleotide ribosomal RNA is filed under the name uncultured bacterium. Its description in RNAcentral is "partial 16S ribosomal RNA". It matches the Rfam family "Bacterial small subunit ribosomal RNA", at positions 29 to 507 of the family's 1533-position model. The record is from RNAcentral.
AGUGAACGCUGGCGGUAGGCCUAACACAUGCAAGUCGAACUGCAGCACAGUAAGAGCUUGCUCUUACGGGUGGCGAGUGGCGGACGGGUGAGGAAUACAUCGGAAUCUACUUUUUCGUGGGGGAUAACGUAGGGAAACUUACGCUAAUACCGCAUACGACCUACGGGUGAAAGCAGGGGAUCUUCGGACCUUGCGCGAUUGAAUGAGCCGAUGUCGGAUUAGCUAGUUGGCGGGGUAAAGGCCCACCAAGGCGACGAUCCGUAGCUGGUCUGAGAGGAUGAUCAGCCACACUGGAACUGAGACACGGUCCAGACUCCUACGGGAGGCAGCAGUGGGCAAUAUUGGACAAUGGGCGCAAGCCUGAUCCAGCCAUACCGCGUGGGUGAAGAAGGCCUUCGGGUUGUAAAGCCCUUUUGUUGGGAAAGAAAAGCAGCAGGUUAAUACCCCGCUGUUCUGACGGUACCCAAAGAAUAAGCACCGGCUAACUUCGUG